UGGGGUAGUUCUGAGCACGUAGACGCCAUGGAUGGCGUAUCGUGCAUGUUGCUAGUAAGAAUCCGCGGUAUCUCUUGAAGAUUUUCUAUCUCCA
Non-coding RNA from Glossina palpalis gambiensis, 94 nucleotides. Lineage: Eukaryota; Metazoa; Arthropoda; Insecta; Diptera; Glossinidae. The record is from Rfam.